This 290-nucleotide ribosomal RNA is filed under the name uncultured bacterium. RNAcentral describes it as "partial 16S ribosomal RNA". It matches the Rfam family "Bacterial small subunit ribosomal RNA", at positions 773 to 1060 of the family's 1533-position model. The record is from RNAcentral.
GUGGAUUAGAUACCCUGGUAGUCCACGCCCUAAACGAUGUCAACUGGUUGUUGGGGGAUUUAUUCUCUUAGUAACGAAGCUAACGCGUGAAGUUGACCGCCUGGGGAGUACGGUCGCAAGAUUAAAACUCAAAGGAAUUGACGGGGGCCCGCACAAGCGGUGGAUGAUGUGGAUUAAUUCGAUGCAACGCGAAAAACCUUACCUACGCUUGACAUGUCCGAGAUCCCCGAGAGAUUGGGGAGUGCUCGAAAGAGAAUCGGAACACAGGUGCUGCAUGGUCGUCGACAACU